AUGGAUUGGACGUCUCAAUCUAAUAAUCCUAUUACAAUCCAAAUCCGAUAAUCCGAUUAUAAAUGGAUCUGGAUAUGGAUUAUAGUAUAUUCGAUCCGACUUAAUAUGAAAUAUAAUUUAAUUUUUCUAAGCUUUAUAUUAAUAUUUUAUUAUGUAAAUGAGUAAUUUCAGUUUUAUAUGCACUAGUUGGGUCGUCAUCAGUGGUCG
This 207-nucleotide long non-coding RNA is filed under the name Prunus persica (peach). RNAcentral's name for it is "long non-coding RNA (PPER_LNC005329)". The record is from RNAcentral. Lineage: Eukaryota; Viridiplantae; Streptophyta; Magnoliopsida; Rosales; Rosaceae.